UACGAAGGGGGCUAGCGUUGCUCGGAAUCACUGGGCGUAAAGGGUGCGUAGGCGGGUUUUUAAGUCAGGGGUGAAAUCCUGGAGCUCAACUCCAGAACUGCCUUUGACACUGAAGAUCUUGAGUCCGGGAGAGGUGAGUGGUACUGCGAGUGUAGAGGUGAAAUUCGUAGAUAUUCGCAAGAACACCAGUGGCGAAGGCGGCUCACUGGCCCGGUACUGACGCUGAGGCACGAAAGCGUGGGGAGCAAACAGG
This 253-nucleotide ribosomal RNA is filed under the name uncultured bacterium. RNAcentral describes it as "partial 16S ribosomal RNA". It matches the Rfam family "Bacterial small subunit ribosomal RNA", at positions 524 to 776 of the family's 1533-position model. The record is from RNAcentral.